Molecule: ribosomal RNA, 504 nt
Filed under: uncultured bacterium
Lineage: Bacteria
Description: partial 16S ribosomal RNA
Rfam family: Bacterial small subunit ribosomal RNA
Source: RNAcentral
AUUGAACGCUGGCGGCAUGCCUUACACAUGCAAGUCGAACGGCAGCAUGGAGAGCUCGCUCUCUGAUGGCGAGUGGCGAACGGGUGAGUAAUGCAUCGGAACGUACCGUGUAAUGGGGGAUAACGUAGCGAAAGUUACGCUAAUACCGCAUAUGACCUGAGGGUGAAAGCAGGGGAGCGCAAGACCUUGCGUUAUACGAGCGGCCGAUGUCAGAUUAGCUAGUUGGUGAGGUAAAGGCUCACCAAGGCGACGAUCUGUAGCGGGUCUGAGAGGAUGAUCCGCCACACUGGGACUGAGACACGGCCCAGACUCCUACGGGAGGCAGCAGUGGGGAAUUUUGGACAAUGGGGGCAACCCUGAUCCAGCCAUGCCGCGUGAGUGAAGAAGGCCUUCGGGUUGUAAAGCUCUUUCGGCCGGGAAGAAAUCGCACAGGCUAAUACUCUGUGUGGAUGACGGUACCGGCAUAAGAAGCACCGGCUAACUACGUGCCAGCCGCCGCAGUAA